GAUGAACGCUGGCGGCGUGCCUAAUACAUGCAAGUAGAACGCUGAAGGAAGGAGCUUGCUCUUUCCGGAUGAGUUGCGAACGGGUGAGUAACGCGUAGGUAACCUGCCUGGUAGCGGGGGAUAACUAUUGGAAACGAUAGCUAAUACCGCAUAACAGUAGAUGUUGCAUGAUAUCUACUUAAAAGGUGCAAUUGCACCACUACCAGAUGGACCUGCGUUGUAUUAGCUAGUUGGUGAGGUAACGGCUCACCAAGGCGACGAUACAUAGCCGACCUGAGAGGGUGAUCGGCCACACUGGGACUGGGACACGGCCCAGACUCCUACGGGAGGCAGCAGUAGGGAAUCUUCGGCAAUGGACGGAAGUCUGAACGAGCAACGCCGCGUGAGUGAAGAAGGUUUUCGGAUCGGAAAGCUCUGUUGUAAGAGAAGAAAGAGUGUGAGAGUGGAAAGUUCACACUGUGACGGUAUCUUACCAGAAAGGGACGGCUAACUACGUG
RNAcentral lists this ribosomal RNA (497 nucleotides) under uncultured bacterium. RNAcentral's name for it is "partial 16S ribosomal RNA". It matches the Rfam family "Bacterial small subunit ribosomal RNA", at positions 28 to 507 of the family's 1533-position model. The record is from RNAcentral.